RNAcentral lists this ribosomal RNA (275 nucleotides) under uncultured bacterium. RNAcentral describes it as "partial 16S ribosomal RNA". It matches the Rfam family "Bacterial small subunit ribosomal RNA", at positions 399 to 691 of the family's 1533-position model. The record is from RNAcentral.
GCGUGAGUGAUGAAGGCCUUAGGGUUGUAAAGCUCUUUUACCAGGGAUGAUAAUGACAGUACCUGGAGAAUAAGCUCCGGCUAACUCCGUGCCAGCAGCCGCGGUAAUACGGAGGGAGCUAGCGUUGUUCGGAAUUACUGGGCGUAAAGCGCACGUAGGCGGCUUAUCAAGUCAGGGGUGAAAUCCCGGGGCUCAACCCCGGAACUGCCCUUGAAACUGGUUCGCUAGAAUCCUGGAGAGGCGAGUGGAAUUCCGAGUGUAGAGGUGAAAUUCGU